GGAUGCGAUCAUACCAGCACUAAAGCACCGGAUCCCAUCAGAACUCCGAAGUUAAGCGUGCUUGCGCGAGAGUAGUACUAGGAUGGGUGACCUCCUGGGAAGUCCUCGUGUUGCAUUCC
RNAcentral lists this ribosomal RNA (119 nucleotides) under Triticum aestivum (bread wheat). RNAcentral also lists the same sequence under 1 other name. The record is from RNAcentral. Lineage: Eukaryota; Viridiplantae; Streptophyta; Magnoliopsida; Poales; Poaceae.